Molecule: long non-coding RNA, 949 nt
Filed under: Marmota monax (woodchuck)
Lineage: Eukaryota; Metazoa; Chordata; Mammalia; Rodentia; Sciuridae
Source: RNAcentral
ACGUGACUGUCUUUUCUGUCUUCUACUCUGUGUCUUCGGACUCUUGGAAUACACAUUAAAGAAUGUCCCUGCACUUGUUCCUUUGAACACCUUGGAACACUGGUGUCCAAGAUCCUAGCUAUUUCUGAUUUCCAAAAAUAAAGAUGGAUUUUUUAGGAGAUGCAUUUUGUGGUUCAGAAUUGUGAGAAAUGAAGUAGGCACAAUAAAUUAGCAGUGGGGCGUGGGGGCACAAAGUAAUGGAAAACAGACCUAAGAACUGGGAAAGUGUAGCCGCCUGGGACCAGUUAGUGAAGGGGCAGGCAGCUCUGCACACCUCGGUGUCCCUGGGGCAUCCCUGGGGCAAAGGACGUAAUCUAUUUUAGAAAGCUUCCCAUCCAGAGAAAUGUCUAAACAUGCCACCAAGUAGUGUCUGUGCCUAAAAGGCAAAGCAGGUGCCCUUCAGGCAGUGAACAGGGGCAUGCUGGGGAGGAGAAGCAUUAGGGAUUAAAACCCUGAGAUGCUGCUGGGUGUGGAGGCCACACAAGUAACACCAGUUACUGGGGAGGCUGAGGCAGGAGGAUAGCAAGUUCCUGGUCAGUCUGGGCAACUUAGUGAGACCCUGUCUAAAAAUAAAAGUUAAAAGCAAAGAGGGAACUAGGAAUACAGCCAGUGGUAGAACACUUGCCUAGCAUGCACGUGGCCCUGGGUUCAGUCCCCAGUACUGAAGAAGACCCAAGCAAAAACAAAAUAAAACAAAAAAGUGGAGGUUUUGCGAGGUAAAAGGAAACACAAAAUGACAGACAGUGGUAGCUGCGUUCUUUAGGGUCAUGCAGCUCUAGGCACAUGGUUUUACAACUUAGUCAAGGCGAAUUAUAAAAACAGAAUGCACACCCUGGAAAGUGGCAAGGCUGGUCUGACCAUUUCUGCUGACUUUGAACCUAGGGAGUGAGACCACGCACAUUCAGACUCC